GGGGUCAUAGCUCAGAUGGGAGAGCGCCUGCUUUGCAAGCAGGGGGUCGGCGGUUCGAUCCCGCCUGACUCCACCA
This 76-nucleotide transfer RNA is filed under the name Candidatus Nitrosacidicoccus urinae. Its description in RNAcentral is "Candidatus Nitrosacidococcus sp. I8 tRNA-Ala". It matches the Rfam family "tRNA". From Rfam's summary of the family: Transfer RNA (tRNA) molecules are approximately 80 nucleotides in length. Their secondary structure includes four short double-helical elements and three loops (D, anti-codon, and T loops). The record is from RNAcentral. Lineage: Bacteria; Pseudomonadati; Pseudomonadota; Gammaproteobacteria; Chromatiales; Chromatiaceae.